RNAcentral lists this transfer RNA (66 nucleotides) under Petrodromus tetradactylus (four-toed elephant shrew). RNAcentral describes it as "tRNA-Pro". It matches the Rfam family "tRNA". From Rfam's summary of the family: Transfer RNA (tRNA) molecules are approximately 80 nucleotides in length. Lineage: Eukaryota; Metazoa; Chordata; Mammalia; Macroscelidea; Macroscelididae. The record is from RNAcentral.
CAGGAGGUAGUUUAUGCAGAAUGUCAGCUUUGGGUGCUGAUGGUGGGGCUCAAGCCCUCUUCCUGA